This 497-nucleotide ribosomal RNA is filed under the name uncultured bacterium. RNAcentral describes it as "partial 16S ribosomal RNA". It matches the Rfam family "Bacterial small subunit ribosomal RNA", at positions 28 to 507 of the family's 1533-position model. The record is from RNAcentral.
GAUGAACGCUGGCGGCGUGCCUAAUACAUGCAAGUCGAGCGAACAGACGAGGAGCUUGCUCCUCUGACGUUAGCGGCGGACGGGUGAGUAACACGUGUAUAACCUACCUAUAAGACUGGGAUAACUUCGGGACACCGGAGCUAAUACCGGAUAAUAUAUUGAACCGCAUGGUUCAAUAGUGAAAGACGGUUUUGCUGUCACUUAUAGAUGGAUCCGCGCCGCAUUAGCUAGUUGGUAAGGUAACGGCUUACCAAGGCAACGAUGCGUAGCCGACCUGAGAGGGUGAUCGGCCACACUGGAACUGAGACACGGUCCAGACUCCUACGGGAGGCAGCAGUAGGGAAUCUUCCGCAGUGGGCGAAAGCCUGACGGAGCAACGCCGCGUGAGUGAUGAAGGUCUUCGGAUCGUAAAACUCUGUUAUUAGGGAAGAACAAAUGUGUAAGUAACUAUGCACGUCUUGACGGUACCUAAUCAGAAAGCCACGGCUAACUACGUG